RNAcentral lists this non-coding RNA (24 nucleotides) under Cricetulus griseus (Chinese hamster). Lineage: Eukaryota; Metazoa; Chordata; Mammalia; Rodentia; Cricetidae. The record is from RNAcentral.
AAUUGGUCUGUUGAAGAUAUUGUU